RNAcentral lists this ribosomal RNA (405 nucleotides) under Triticum aestivum (bread wheat). Its description in RNAcentral is "partial small subunit ribosomal RNA". The record is from RNAcentral. Lineage: Eukaryota; Viridiplantae; Streptophyta; Magnoliopsida; Poales; Poaceae.
AUGGCGCACCACGCGCCGUCCAACUCUCUCAUACUCUUCCUGGUCCUCACUUCCAUCCAAGACGGCAGAGGUGCGACGUCGCGUCCAUCGCCGGCGCCGGCGGGAUACGUGCCGGUUCGCGCCGUGGUGUACCGAUCGGUGGCGCUCCCGGCCGCGACGGUAGCCGCCGCCGGGGACGAGGCGCCGGGCGGAGGAAGUUACGAGCCGUUCCAGCUGUGCAUGGGGUGCCGGUGCUGCGCGGCGGCAGGGAGCGGCGGCGCGAGCAGCUCAUGCGUGGACACGCGGUGCUGCUACGCCAUCGACUGCAACGUCCCCGGCAAGCCCUUCGGCGUCUGCGCCUUCUCCCCCCGCACAUGCGGCUGCGGCGCCGGCGCCGGCGCCGGCAACAACUGCACCGCCACCUAG